GGCCCUAUCGACUAAGGGUUUAGGUCGCAACCCUCUCAAGGUUGAAAUACGAGUUCGAAUCUCGUUGGGGCUA
This 73-nucleotide transfer RNA is filed under the name Bacteroidales bacterium. RNAcentral's name for it is "tRNA-Glu". It matches the Rfam family "tRNA". From Rfam's summary of the family: Transfer RNA (tRNA) molecules are approximately 80 nucleotides in length. Their secondary structure includes four short double-helical elements and three loops (D, anti-codon, and T loops). Lineage: Bacteria; Pseudomonadati; Bacteroidota; Bacteroidia; Bacteroidales. The record is from RNAcentral.